This 245-nucleotide ribosomal RNA is filed under the name uncultured bacterium. RNAcentral describes it as "partial 16S ribosomal RNA". It matches the Rfam family "Bacterial small subunit ribosomal RNA", at positions 524 to 768 of the family's 1533-position model. The record is from RNAcentral.
UACGUAGGGUGCAAGCGUUAAUCGGAAUUACUGGGCGUAAAGCGUGCGCAGGCGGUCUUGUAAGACAGAGGUGAAAUCCCCGGGCUCAACCUGGGAACUGCCUUUGUGACUGCAAGGCUUGAGUACGGCAGAGGGGGAUGGAAUUCCGCGUGUAGCAGUGAAAUGCGUAGAUAUGCGGAGGAACACCGAUGGCGAAGGCAGUCCCCUGGGCCUGUACUGACGCUCAUGCACGAAAGCGUGGGGAG